GACGAACGCUGGCGGCGUGCUUAACACAUGCAAGUCGAGCGGUGAAGCGCCUUCCUUUUUGGUGGGUGUGGAUGAGUGGCGAACGGGUGAGUAACACGUGAGUAACCUGCCCCCUUCUUCUGGAUAACCGCAUGAAAGUGUGGCUAAUACGGGAUAUUCUGGGUCUGUCGCAUGAUGGGUCUGGGAAAGAUAUUGUUUCGGUGGGGGAUGGGCUCGCGGCCUAUCAGCUUGUUGGUGGGGUGAUGGCCUACCAAGGCGGUGACGGGUAGCCGGCCUGAGAGGGUGGACGGUCACACUGGGACUGAGACACGGCCCAGACUCCUACGGGAGGCAGCAGUGGGGAAUAGUGCACAAUGGGCGCAAGCCUGAUGCAGCGACGCCGCGUGAGGGAUGGAGGCCUUCGGGUUGUGAACCUCUUUCGCCAGUGAAGCAGGCCUGCCUCGUUUGUGGGUGGGUUGACGGUAGCUGGAUAAGAAGCGCCGGCUAACUACGUG
This 494-nucleotide ribosomal RNA is filed under the name uncultured bacterium. Its description in RNAcentral is "partial 16S ribosomal RNA". It matches the Rfam family "Bacterial small subunit ribosomal RNA", at positions 28 to 507 of the family's 1533-position model. The record is from RNAcentral.